AGCUCUCUACGAACAGCCCGGUGCCGCCAUCUUGAGUUGAGGGUUGGCCGGCAGCACUUUUGCACACGCCCGGAGCCGAGGUAUUGGCACUCCCGUUUGGUAUGAGGAACUCUGGUCUGAAGGACUGGAUCCGAGGCCUUUGGACGGGCACUUUCUGAGCAGGGGAAACUACAUGAAGCGGAAAAGGACAGAACCCAACUGCCAUGCUGUGAGAAGCCCAGACCACACAGAGAGGCCAAACCUCCAGGCUCCAGGCAAGAAUCCCAGCCGGGUCUGGCCUUGCGUCAUCCCAGCACAACCAGCAGAUCUGUGAGUGAAGAAGCCACUGGAUGAUUCCAGUCACCGCUUCUGAGGUACCAGCAGUCCCUUUCCAGUUAACUUGGCACUCUGGGGAUCCAAGGAUUACUGCAGUUUAUCAAAGAAGCUUCUCAACCUGUCCAGUGAGGAUAUAUAAAGGACAUGUAGUAGCUAUGGAUACACACUGCUGGCUUCACACAGGAGCUGUUGCAUGUGCUGAAAAACUAGCCAAAGGAGAGCCUACCGAUAAGUAUGUAGGAUUUUGUAGGAAAUUUGUAAACAUAUUACUGUCUCAUGGGAUCAAGCCUAUCCUGGUAUUUGGUGAAUGUACUGUACCUUCUAAAAAGGAAGUGGAGAAGUCUAGAAGAGAGUAAGUUGAUUCUCUAACUUAAUUACUUUAAGGUCUAACAUUGUGCUCUGUAUGAUAGCAAUUUCUUGUGAUUUUUGUUUGUGGCACGAACAGAGUACCCUAACAUUCCAUGUAUGCUAGAAAGGAAUGUGUGUUCUUCAGUUACUGAGUGGAAGCUUUCCUGUCUGUCCAGGAAAUCAAGCUUAUUGAUCAUAGUGCUCAAAUCUUCCAUAGCCUUGUUGGGGAUAAGGAUUUUUUGGUGGGGUUUUUUGCUUGUUUGUUUAUAUGUCUACUUAAUACAGCAGUUACUGAGAAAAGUAUGUUCAAAUUUCACUGUGAUAGUGGAAUUGUUUAUGACUUAUUUUUCCACCACCUAUACCCUGUCCCCUUGGUUUUCGAGUAUCUCAGCUGGUUGGGAUUUUUUACCUGAUGAAGUGAACCAAACCUUAAUUUUUGUGGGAGCUCAGCCUCUUGUGGCCCAGUUGCUAUCGAGUUAUGUGGUUUUCCACUUACUUCUACCAUUGGCAGUGGAGGAGGCAGUCCACUGGUUCCCUUGAGUUCCAUCCAUAAUCCUUUUUCCCCUCACUGUGCAUCAUGUUGCCACGAUGGGAACUCCUACUGUGCAUUUUUCUUAAUGAGACUAAGUGCUUAGGGCCCUUCCAGAGGGGCAUUUAUUUAAUUUUCUCAUUCACUAACAGAAAGGUUUUACAUUCACUUUUCUGUUACCACCUGCUGGGGUAAUUUCAUAAGCUCUUACCAGGAAUAAGACACCAGUAUUGCCAGGAAAUAUUAUAGGAUAUUAAAUUGUAGUUUAACAGUGCAGGUGUGUAUUACUUCUAAACUCAAUAUCAAACACGUUAAUUGAUAAGAUACAUUAAUUUUACUGGAGAUGGAGAGCAGGUGGGAAAAGGAGGUUAGAGAGUGAAAAGUGACUGAUUAACAAAAAAUUUUCUUUUUGUUGAACAAUUCUUUUACAUUAUGAACUCCUCAAAUGCAUUUAAAACACAAUUCAGUUUGCCACAACUUGACUUACAUGCAGAUUUUUUUUCUAGGAGUACAUUUCUGACAAAAACACAUUAAUCUCUGUUUUCCUAAAACUACAAUAUUUUCAACUAUGUGCUCCAAAUGACAAAUGGGGUGGAGGAGGCACCUUUGAUCAUUCCACUCAGUGACCUACUUGCAAAAUUUUCAUUGCUCAUCUUCAAAGUUCCGUGCUUUGUCAUGCCCAGGGGAGGAAUGCUUCAACUAGCAGAGGCAAUUAUGGUUCUAAUGGAUUGGAAUUUGAGGUUUCCACAUGUCAUUGGCUGAACAGACAUAAAAAGAAGGGUUUACAAUGUUGAUGGGCUGAUUGUGCUUGGCUCCUAAGGGGAAAUGAAAUUGCUGCCUGUGGAAAAUGCAGAGAUGAUCCAGCUAGAAUCCUUUGAAAGAAAGACUUGCAGCUCAGCUACGGGCAAUUCGGUCAGCAGCCAGCUUCCAGAUAUCAGGUCCUUAGCCACCUUGUACA
Sus scrofa (pig) is the source of this 2150-nucleotide non-coding RNA. Lineage: Eukaryota; Metazoa; Chordata; Mammalia; Artiodactyla; Suidae. The record is from RefSeq and is a predicted model, not a curated record.